UCGUGGAGUGAUUUGUCUGGUUAAUUCCGUUAACGGACGAGACCUCAACCUGCGAAACUAGUCCCCGUCCCAGAGUCGCACAGACGCGGGAGACUUCUUCGAGGGACUAUGCGGUUACACAAACGCAUGGAAGUUUGAGGCAAUAACA
This 148-nucleotide ribosomal RNA is filed under the name uncultured eukaryote. RNAcentral describes it as "partial 18S ribosomal RNA". It matches the Rfam family "Eukaryotic small subunit ribosomal RNA", at positions 1299 to 1458 of the family's 1831-position model. The record is from RNAcentral.